UACAGAGGGUGCAAGCGUUGUUCGGAAUUAUUGGGCGUAAAGGGAGUGUAGGCUGCUUGUUAAGUCUUCUGUGAAAUCCCCCGGCUUAACCGGGGAACUGCGUCUGAUACUGGAUGGCUUGAGUUCGGGAGAGGGAUGCGGAAUUCCAGGUGUAGCGGUGAAAUGCGUAGAUAUCUGGAGGAACACCGGUGGCGAAGGCGGCAUCCUGGACCGAUACUGACGCUGAGGAGCGAAAGCCAGGGGAGCAAACGGG
This 253-nucleotide ribosomal RNA is filed under the name uncultured bacterium. RNAcentral's name for it is "partial 16S ribosomal RNA". It matches the Rfam family "Bacterial small subunit ribosomal RNA", at positions 524 to 776 of the family's 1533-position model. The record is from RNAcentral.